UAGGGAAUCUUCGGCAAUGGACGCAAGUCUGACCGAGCAACGCCGCGUGAGUGAAGAAGGUUUUCGGAUCGUAAAGCUCUGUUGUCAGCAAAGAACAGGAGAAAGAGGAAAUGCUUUUUCCAUGCCGGUAGCUGACCAGAAAGCCACGGCUAACUACGUGCCAGCAGCCGCGGUAAUACGUAGGUGGCAAGCGUUGUCCGGAUUUAUUGGGCGUAAAGCGAGCGCAGGCGGUGAUUUAAGUCUGAUGUGAAAGCCUCCAGCUCAACUGGGGAGGGUCAUUGGAAACUGGAUCACUUGAGUGCAGAAGAGGAGAGUGGAAUUCCAUGUGUAGCGGUGAAAUGCGUAGAUAUAUGGAGGAACACCAGUGGCGAAGGCGGCUCUCUAGUCUGUAACUGACGCUGAGACUCGAAAGCGUGGGUAGCAAACAG
RNAcentral lists this ribosomal RNA (428 nucleotides) under uncultured bacterium. Its description in RNAcentral is "bacterial SSU rRNA". It matches the Rfam family "Bacterial small subunit ribosomal RNA", at positions 355 to 775 of the family's 1533-position model. The record is from RNAcentral.